This 468-nucleotide ribosomal RNA is filed under the name uncultured bacterium. RNAcentral describes it as "partial 16S ribosomal RNA". It matches the Rfam family "Bacterial small subunit ribosomal RNA", at positions 28 to 507 of the family's 1533-position model. The record is from RNAcentral.
GAUGAACGCUGGCGGCGUGCUUAACACAUGCAAGUCGAACGGAAAGGCCCUGCUUUUGUGGCUUUCUCGUUUGCCGCACGGGUGAGUAUCACGUGUGUAACCUGCCCUUGACUUUGUGAUAACUUCAGGGAACUCCGGCUCUUAUCCGAUAUGAUCUUCUGCUGCGUGUGGUUGAUUAGAAAGAGGCGGCGGUUGGGGAUGGACUCGCUGCUUAUCCGCUUGUUUGGGUGGUAGUUGCUUACCAAGGCUUUGACGGGUAGCCUGCCUGAGAGGGUGACCGGCAACAUUGGGACUGAGAUACGGCCCAGACGCCUACGGGAGGCAGCAGUGGGGAAUAUUGCACAAUGGGCGGAAGCCUGAUGCAGCAACGCCGCGUGCGGGAUGACGGCCUUCGGGUUGUAAACCGCUUUCGCCUGUGACGAAGCGUGAGUGACGGUAAUGGGUAAAGAAGCACCGGCUAACUACGUG